This is a small nuclear RNA of Nothoprocta perdicaria, 107 nucleotides long. The record is from Ensembl. NCBI's taxonomy places the organism in Eukaryota, Metazoa, Chordata, Aves, Tinamiformes, Tinamidae.
GUGCUCGCUUCGGCAGCACAUAUACUAAAAUUGGAAUGAUACAGAGAGGAUUAGCAUGGCCCAUSUGCAAAGAUGACGCACAAAUCUGUGAAGCAUUCUGUAUUUUU